RNAcentral lists this long non-coding RNA (944 nucleotides) under Malus domestica (apple). RNAcentral describes it as "long non-coding RNA (MDOM_LNC011439)". Lineage: Eukaryota; Viridiplantae; Streptophyta; Magnoliopsida; Rosales; Rosaceae. The record is from RNAcentral.
AUUGCUUAGAAUUGUAAUUCAUGUUGAAUUGAUGUAUGAUGUGUAGUGAGAUUGCACCACAUAGUAGUGGUACAUGGAUGGUUCUGCCUGAUUAAUCUGCAUAGGGGACUAUACUAUUACGUGUAUGCCUAUGGUCCUGCCUGGUUAUUUUUCAUUUAGGGACCAUACGCAUUCUUGGUGAUGACUUUGCUUAGUUAAUCGCAUUGAGGGGUCACUGCCAUCUGGUUACAUUAUAUCCAUAUGUGGGGUCAUUGCCUACUUAGUUACUUACUUCCAUAUGUGGUUCUUCCUGGUUAAUCCGUGUUGGAAGACCACACUAUUGGGCGUUUGCCUAUGGUUCUGCUUGGUUAAUCCGCAUUGGAAGACCAUACUCAUUCUAAGGGUGACUUUGCCUGGUUAAUCCACAUUUGGGGGCCACUGCCUACUUGGUCACACUAUAUCCAUAGGUGGUCCUGCUUGGUUAAUCUGCAUUGGGCGACCAUGUUAUCGGAUGGAUGCCUAUGAUUCAACUUGGUUAAUUCACAUUAGGGAGCAUACAUAUCUUGAGCGGGGUUACGUUGAGUAGUCUAGAAUCCCUAUUUUCAUUCGGUUCCAUUAAGUUGGUCAGGAACUAGAUCUCUACAAAUCUUUUAUGGUUCCUCUGUAUUGCUCUAGCCUUGAUUUUCUGCAAACAAUUGUAACUUGUUUGAAUUGAUAAAUUAUGGAUGACAUUAAUAUUGUUUACUGUCUAAAAGGAUUUCGUUACUCUAUAAUUCUCCUAUCCCCUGAAAAUUUAUGGCUUCACCACUAUUUGCAACAGUCGCCAGCAAUAGCACUAGUCUUGGCACUGCUUGACUUCCAAUUCUUUAAUGGACACUCAGAAACCACUUUCCAAAAUUGUUGAAUAUUUGGUUUCUCCACUAUAAAUAUUCCAACACUCGCAAAAAGUUUCAUAAUUGUUUGAA